RNAcentral lists this ribosomal RNA (384 nucleotides) under uncultured bacterium. RNAcentral's name for it is "bacterial SSU rRNA". It matches the Rfam family "Bacterial small subunit ribosomal RNA", at positions 29 to 404 of the family's 1533-position model. The record is from RNAcentral.
AACGAACGCUGGCGGCGCGCCUAAUACAUGCAAGUCGAACGAGAAGGUGUAGCAAUACACUUGUAAAGUGGCGAACGGGUGAGGAAUACAUGGGUGACCUACCCUCGAGUGGGGAAUAACCAGCCGAAAGGUUGGCUAAUACCGCGUACGCUUCCCAGUCUACGGGUUGGGAAGGAAAGCGAUGCCGUGGGUAUCGCGCUCAAGGUUGGGCUCAUGUCCUAUCAGCUUGUUGGGAGGUAACGGCUCACCAAGGCAACGACGGGUAGCUGGUCUGAGAGGACGAUCAGCCACACUGGCACUGCGACACGGGCCAGACUCCUACGGGAGGCAGCAGUGGGGAAUAUUGCGCAAUGGGCGAAAGCCUGACGCAGCGACGCCGCGUGU